AAUUAGCUUAGAAGUUUCUUUUGGUGCUUGUGAAUUAAGUAGGUUGUGUAUAUUUAAUAUUUUUUUGUUAAGUUUGAAGUUAAUAGUAAAUUAAUGAAGGAGAACUUUUCUAAGUAUUCAAGCUCCAAAUCGGAAUGAACUGAGUUUUAGUUAAAAAUUAUUCUAAGUACAAAAAGAGGAGCUCUCGAGUGGAAAGUGGGUGUUUCCAAUACUUUAGUAAAAUUUUGAGAAAUUGUUAAGAGAAGGAUUUCAAUAAAAUUUUGAGAAAUUGUUAAGAGAAGGAUUAUGUGUGGAGAUGUGUGGCUUGAAGGGUGUAUUGGAGGGCCUUAGUGGUAAGCUUUAGGUGAUGACCUUGGUUGGCCAAUCAUAGAAAGGCUUGCCAAGGGGGAAAAAGCUUCCAAGAAGAGCCUAGGCGAAGAAGUGAAGUUGCAGCUUUAGACGAGGAAGAAUGGAUGUGUAGGCGAUGACCUCGGCAUACUAUCUAGCUUAAGACCGGCGAUGGGCCUCAUAAGAGGUUAUUAACAUUGGUGUAGAUGGCCAGAUGUGCUACUGAGUGCCAAGGUGAGGCAUCGAAGGAAGGCUGUUGAGUGGGCAAUGAGGUGAGCUGGUGGUCGAGAGCCUUAUGUAUGUGAAGGCUAUGCCCUUUCAAGUGUCAAGGUGCUAAGGAGAAUAAAUUACUAAGAGGAUAAGUGAGCUAAGUGGCAGAAGAUUAAGCUUAAGACAAGAGUUAAUAGCAUGAGCUGCCAUUUGAUUAAGCAAAGAAAGCAUGCAAAGGGAAGUAUAAAUAGGGCUUAUGAAGAAGAAGUUGGUUUUUCUAUUUCUCUCGUGCAAAAGAAGAACUUCAACAUCCAAAUUGAAGCUUGAUCAGUCUAGUGAUGAUCCAGGGUUGCUGUGAGGAAAUUCGCAUAGAUUGAUAGUGAAAUCUUAAGGAAAUUUUUUGACCCCCUCGAGCAAGCUGUGAAGAUUGGAGGAUUUUGCGCUCCCUAAGAAAAGUUAGAAGCUUCAAUUUUGAGGCUGCUGGAUAGGUUGAAGAAGCUAGUAGAUGACCAGGGGUAAUGAGGGCUGGCGUUGAGUUGGUGUGUGAUAGCACUAGAAAUGUGUUAUCUUCUUCUGAUUAACUCGAGGUUGUUUAACUACAUAAUUAGGUUAAAUUGAUCAUUUUGUAGGACUCGAGUAUACAAGCAGUCAGAUUAAACGUUCGGAACAAUAGACGCUAAAAUGACAAAGUUAGAAGCUAAAUUGAUCAAAUGACGAAGGAAUGAAGAAUACUGCCCCGCUGAACAUUGCUAUGCUCUCAUUAAACCUAAGUCCAACGCUAGAAGGUAGAAUGUUCCGAUGCAGGGUAGCGUUGCAACGUUGUCCCAAGCGUUGCAACGCUCCGGAGAUGCCCCAACGCUACCGUUGUGCCGCUCGUCAACGCUGCCCUCCAACGCUCUAGGACAGAAUAGGCAGUGUUGCUAGCCUGGGUUUGUUAGUUUAUAUUGGUUCUGAUUCAAUUCUUGAGACCCAUAUUGUAGUUCUAUGAGUUUUAUUAUGAACUUAUGAGAAUUUAUCUUGCGCAUAUUCUUCAAUUUUUGUGUAUAAGAUAAUCUGAAAAAUUAGCUGUGCAUGUUUAUAAUUGAUUGCUUUGUUUGGCCCUAAUUUGUAACUGUUAAGUAGUCAUCACUUAGAAGCAUGAGUUAAGUUAGUUUGUUGUAUUAAUUUAGGAUUCCAAUUAACAAGCAUUUACUUUCUAACUUAGAUAAACCUCCCUCAAUUAAUUGGUUAGAUGAUGAAAUCAAUUAAUUGACUUAGCUUUGCCUUGAAUCUUAAUGCCUGUUGAUUGAUUGAUUAGCUGAGGAUUCUUGCUUUUCUAUUAAUUAACUUGAUUUUAUGGACUACCGAGUAGGAUUCUAAUCGAGUAGGCUAAGUUAAAAUUCAAUUAUUCUUGCACAUCUUUUGAUUAGUCCGUGAUAGAAUUGAUGAAGAAUGAACUAAACUAUGAUUACUCAAGCUAAGUAUUUGUCCGAUUGAUAAAUUUUUGUAUUCGUUUACGUUGUACACUUUUUGUUCUUUAGCAAUUUAUUUAAGAAUUUCUCAUAAAAUCUCUCUCCCCCCCCCAGCGCCUUGGUUACUACUAAUUAGGAAUCCAUAUUCGACACUCUGUGGUUCAACCCCAAACUUGCUACUUGUACUACUAAUUAGUAUAAGAGGUUAGUUCGGUACAGACAAAUUUUAUUUACAUAGGUGCGGGUUCACGAACGACGGUGAAUCCGGUGGCCGGCCAAAUUGACGUCGUUGCCACGGAGCGAACGAAAUCCUUGAUUUUUGAAACUUGUAGUGUUUAUCCUUGCUAAUCAAUUUUCUCUUUUGGUGCAUGACCCACACUCCCAAAGGUGCUAGACAAUUGUAUUUUGCAGAGAUUUCCAGGGAGGAGCGGAGAAUCAAAAGAGAAAGGAGACAACAAGUUGCGCUGGACAGAGAGAUUCGUGUUGAAGACACAUUGGGAGAAGAAAGCAUUCUUGAAGAUUUUCUAGUGAUGGCUGAAUGAGAAAAUACCCUCAAGGAACUUGUAACACGGCAAGGAUCCACACAAACACUUGAAGGAAUUCAAUGUGGUGUGCAAUGGGAUGAGACCUAAUGGGGUGACCCAGGAGCAGAUAAAUAUGAGAGCAUUCAACUUUUCAUUGAAGGGAGAUGCCAAGGAGUGGCUCUACAUUCUUUCACCAAGGAGCAUCACGUCAUGGGAAGAAUUGCAGAGGCAGUUCUUGAAGAAGUUCUUUCCAGCAUCCUGAGCUGCUAGUGUUAGAAAGGAAAUUUAUAGCAUCAUGCAGCUUGAUGGGGAGACCCUUCAUGAGUAUUGAGAAUGAUUCAAAUCUCAGACCAACUUUUGAUCCAAUACUUUUAUGAGGGACUGAUGCAUACCGACAAAAGCAGCAUAGAUGCAGCUGUAGGAGGAGCCUUAGUCAAUAAGACCCCGACUGAGGCAAUGAAUCUAAUAGCUACCAUAGCUGCAAAUCUGCUAACGAGGUAAGUGAAUUUAAAAAAGAAAUAUCUGACUUAGUUUCUGUUGUAAAGCAGUUAGCGAAGGUAGAGAUUGGACAACCCGCUAUUGUUUGCCAAGUAUGCCAUGGGACUGACCAUUCAGCUGACAUUUGCCCAAGUGCUCCGCAAGGAGCAAUUCCUAAGGUAAAUGCCAUUGGAGGCUACAAUUACAAUGGGCAAAACAGAAUGCGAGACCCAUUCAAUCACGACUUCAUCUGGGUGGAGAGACCACCCUAACUUCAAAUGGGGAGGACAGAAGGAGCAGGCUCAACCUAGUCAUGGAGCUCCAUCUGGUUCAGGUAUGUUCUUAGAAGAUAUGGUUAAAAGUUUUGCUGAUAAUCAUUUUAAAUUUCAGAGUGCCAUUGAUGCAUUGGGGACCCAAAUCUCUCAACUAGCCACCUCUAUGAGUAAAUUGGAGAGACAAUCUGGCAAACUCCCAUCUCAACCAGAAUCAAACCCUAGAGAAAAUGUAAGUGCAUCUCGUUGAGGAGUGGCAAGGAGUUGAAACCACCUAUUGAGUCAAAGGAGCUAGAAUUGGAAAGUCUAGGAAUUUAUUCCUCAAAUUCGACCAUCUUACCACCACAAAAUAAACAAGAGCUUGCAAGGCCAAAGGAACCAACUGUAGACAAGGACAUGGAGCUUUUAGAGAUGUUUAGAAGGGUGGAGAUAAAUAUUCCUCUCCUUGAUGCAGUCAAGCAACUUUCGAAAUAUGCCAAAUUCUUGAAGGAGAUUUACACGAGGAAGAGACAAGCCAAGGAAAAGUACAGACUGGUGGUAAGUCAAUUUGUGUCUACGAUCCUUUAGAAAAACAAAAGGAUCCAGGUAUGUUUUCUCUCCCUUGCAUUAUAGGUAAAAAGAAAAUUAAUAGGGCCAUGCUAGAUUUGGGUGAAUCAAUAAAUAUUAUGCCUUAUUCAGUUUAUCAAGAAUUAAAAUUGAAGGACCUAACUGAGACUAGAGUUGUCAUCAAUUAGCUGAUACGUCUUUUAUACACCCAUUAGGAGUCAUAAAGGAUGUCCUAGUGCAGGAUAAUGAAUUGCUUUUUCCUGUUGAUUUCCAUGUUCUUAAGAUGAUAGAGCCCACAUCUAUCUCAUUUGCAUCCAUCUUGCUUGGGCGGCCUUUUAUGAAGAUGGCCAAGACUAAUAUUGAUGUGGAUGAGGGCACUCUAUCUGUGGAGUUCGAUGGUGAAUUGGUUAAAUUUAAUAUUUUUGAUGCUAUAAAAACUUCCACCAUAGGGCAAGUACAUUCUUUGUGCCAGAUUGAUGUGAUUGACUUUUUGAGCAGGAGGUUAUAUGGGACAUUUAUGACGACGAUGAGGAUGACUCAGGAGAUUUAAUCCCUUUUGGAGAGCUUGCCACCUUGUCUAUGACAAAGUCGGUAGGUAUGCCCUCAUAUUCCGAUGAUGAAUCUUUUGACAAGGUGUUUCCUUCUGUUUUGUAGGCACCUAAAUUGGAAUUGAAGGAGCUUCUAGACCACCUAAAGUACACCUAUCUAGGGGAAGCUGAGAUCUUUCCUGUCAUAAUUUCAAGGAACCUGACUGAGGAAUAAGAGAAGCAGUUGGUGGAGGUAUUACAGAAAUACAAGUUGGCCACUAGAUGGACGUUGGCCGACAUAAAAGGUAUUAGCCCUGCUGUGUGCAAGCAUCAAAUUUCUUUGGAAGAUGGAGCUAAACCUUGUUGACAGCCCCAACGACGUCUCCUGUCUUGAAGGAGGUAGUAAUGAAGGAGGUCUUCAAACUCUUAGAUGCAUGUAUUAUCUAUCAUAUUCCUGAAGGUUAGUCCUAUUCAUGUAGUGCCCAAGAAAACGGGUAUAGUUGUGGCAAAAAACGAUGAGGGUAUUUUAAUUCCUGUUAGAGUUCAGAAUGGGUGGAAGAUGUGUAUAGAUUUUAGGAAAUUAAAUGUUGUAGCUAGAAAGGACCACUUCCCUAUCUUCUUCAUUGAUCAGAUGCUUGAAAGGUUAGAUGGUAAACCCUUCUUCCAUUUCCUUGAUGGUUUUCGGGUUUCUAUCAGAUCUCGAUUAACCAGAAAGACCAACAGAAGACGACCUUUACAUGUCCCCAUGACACCUUCGCUUUUAGAAGAAUGCCAUUUGGACUAUGUAAUGCUCCUGGCACCUUUCAGCACUGUAU
Benincasa hispida (wax gourd) is the source of this 5149-nucleotide non-coding RNA. NCBI's taxonomy places the organism in Eukaryota, Viridiplantae, Streptophyta, Magnoliopsida, Cucurbitales, Cucurbitaceae. The record is from RefSeq and is a predicted model, not a curated record.